UUUGUAGAAGGAGCUUUUACAGAAAGAAAUGUUAACAAGACAGCACCAGUAAAAUAAUUCAUAGCUCUCUGAAAACCUGUUCAAAACAAUCUUAUCUGGGACCUAUACCCCACAGAGAGAGUCUGGAAGCUGCACUUGAACCAAAUCUAUAUCUGCCUUGCCUUGAAGGUGGUGCUUCUAUUUGUGGUGUGUGGACAUUGGCAUACUUUAUCAAUGCGGUUCUGUGUUGGAGGCGGAAAGCCUGGACCAUGGUGAAAUUCUGCCACUGCCAUUCUUUGUGGCCCUGAUGCUUUCACUCUCCAUAUCUGUUCAUUGCCUUGCCUUAUCAGUGUAGGGAUGACUCUUGCAAAGCACUAGACAGUGCUGUAAGCAAGAACUUCUUGUUUGGUUAGCUCGUAUGUUUCUGUGAUACAGGUAACAAAAAUGUGCCUGUCUUUUGGGAUGACUCUAUACUGAAUGCUUUUUACUCAGGCAAGAACUCACAUUUCAUCAAGAACACUUAUGGUCUUAAAUCUUUCAUGUUAAUUGGCUUUCCCCUGAGUCCAUGUUGACAACUAAUAGCUCCGUGAAAUUACACUGGACAGUAUACUUAAAACUAAUAGCAAAAAUAAAGGAAAUCUGCCUGGAGAGGAUAGCUUAAUAGAAACAGGGUUUGGAAAAGAAUAAAAAGUCAAUGACAAAGCAUCAUCGCACUUGUUCUGUGGGGCUGGAGCAGCUGCUGUAUCACAUGAGCCAACAGCCGCUGAGACCUUCAACUUGGAGGAAUUCUGUUGUAAUUACCCUGACUCAUUACAAACUUCACCUGGCUUUCAUUUACUAAUGUAACUUACUGAAUAUUUUUUCCAUUAAUUUGAGUUGUGUCUGUAGGCACAGCAGGGAUUCAUCUGGGGACAUCUGACUUUUUUUUUUUUUCCUUUCCUACACUUCCCUCCUUUAUAAUGCUAAAGGCGAUGUUACCAGGACUUUGCUAUGGAGCUGCUGCCACAGUACUGUGUGCUGAUAUCUAGAUCAUUAGACAUCAGGAGAAAAGCCAGUGUGUUCACGGAAACAGUGCUUCCUCAGACAAGUGGAAGAUCUUCCUGGAACUUACUAGAUUCCCAGCUGAAUCCCCUGAAGCAUCGGUCUUGUAAUGUGACAUGA
RNAcentral lists this long non-coding RNA (1140 nucleotides) under Anser brachyrhynchus (Pink-footed goose). Its description in RNAcentral is "lncRNA (ENSABRG00000009115.1)". The record is from RNAcentral. Lineage: Eukaryota; Metazoa; Chordata; Aves; Anseriformes; Anatidae.